RNAcentral lists this ribosomal RNA (477 nucleotides) under uncultured bacterium. RNAcentral describes it as "SSU rRNA". It matches the Rfam family "Bacterial small subunit ribosomal RNA", at positions 26 to 518 of the family's 1533-position model. The record is from RNAcentral.
AGAACGAACGCUGGCGGCAUGCCUAACACAUGCAAGUCGAACGCUUCCGGGGCUUCGGUCGCGGAGGAGUGGCGCACGGGUGAGUAGCGCGUGGGAACCUGCCCUGUUGUGGGGGAUAACCGAGGGAAACUUCGGCUAAUACCGCAUACGCCCCGGGACUUGGUCUUCGGAUUAGGUCUGGGGGGAAAGAUUGAUCGCAGCAGGAGGGGCCCGCGUCGGAUUAGCUGGUUGGUGGGGUAACGGCUCACCAAGGCGAUGAUCCGUAGCUGGUCUGAGAGGAUGAUCAGCCACACUGGGACUGAGACACGGCCCAGACUCCUACGGGAGGCAGCAGUGGGGAAUAUUGGACAAUGGGGGCAACCCUGAUCCAGCAAUGCCGCGUGAGUGAUGAAGGCCUUAGGGUUGUAAAGCUCUUUCGCCCGCGACGAUGAUGACGGUAGCGGGAGAAGAAGCCCGGCUAACUCGUGCAGCAGCCGC